RNAcentral lists this ribosomal RNA (424 nucleotides) under uncultured Planctomycetaceae bacterium. RNAcentral's name for it is "partial 16S ribosomal RNA". It matches the Rfam family "Bacterial small subunit ribosomal RNA", at positions 355 to 774 of the family's 1533-position model. The record is from RNAcentral. Lineage: Bacteria; Pseudomonadati; Planctomycetota; Planctomycetia; Planctomycetales; Planctomycetaceae.
UCGAGAAUCUUCCGCAAUGGGCGAAAGCCUGACGGAGCGACGCCGCGUGCGGGAUGAAGGCCUUCGGGUUGUAAACCGCUGUCAGAGGGGAACAAGUUCAUGGGGGUUCUCCCCUGUGUUUGAGUGAUCCUCAGAGGAAGCGCAGGCUAAGUCCGUGCCAGCAGCCGCGGUAACACGGACUGCGCGAACGUUAUUCGGAAUCACUGGGCUUAAAGCGUCCGUAGGCGGCCGUGCAGGUGGGGUGUGAAAUCCCUCGGCUUAACCGAGGAAUUGCGCUCCAAACCACAUGGCUUGAGAGAGAUAGAGGUGAGCGGAACUCACGGUGGAGCGGUGAAAUGCGUUGAUAUCGUGAGGAACACCGGUGGCGAAAGCGGCUCACUGGGUCUCUUCUGACGCUGAGGGACGAAAGCUAGGGGAGCGAACG